RNAcentral lists this ribosomal RNA (253 nucleotides) under uncultured bacterium. RNAcentral's name for it is "partial 16S ribosomal RNA". It matches the Rfam family "Bacterial small subunit ribosomal RNA", at positions 524 to 776 of the family's 1533-position model. The record is from RNAcentral.
GACGAACCGUGCGAACGUUGUUCGGAAUCACUGGGCUUAAAGGGCGCGUAGGCGGCUUUGUAAGUCGGGGGUGAAAGCCUGUGGCUCAACCACAGAAUUGCCUUCGAUACUGCAUGGCUUGAGACCGGAAGAGGUUAGUGGAACUGCGAGUGUAGAGGUGAAAUUCGUAGAUAUUCGCAAGAACACCAGUGGCGAAGGCGGCUCACUGGCCCGGUACUGACGCUGAGGUGCGAAAGCGUGGGGAGCAAACAGG